UAUAAAUUCUCUGCUUAAUGUUUGGACUGAGCACAAUGAUUGAACUCAUCUAUGCAUUACCUGUCAACUCAAAAUUAAAAAAAUAAAUAAAUGAAGUUUAAUCUGUACAAGCAUUUUCUAUGUACCUUCAGUAAAAGCAACCAUAACAAAAAUGAUUCCAAACACAAUAUAAUGGCAUGUAAUGCAUCAGAGUAGGUUUGAGCUAAAAAUAAGCACCUUUAUGGACAACAAUAUACAAGAUUAGCAAGACGUUUCUAGCAACUGUAAUUUAUGAGAUUAGUAUGCUAUCUUCAUCAAGUAGGCCGAAACAGAAAAAGUAACCCCUAUACCCUCCUGUUCACUUCUCAGAUCUCAUUUGUCAAAGCCAAAUGACAAGAUGCAGGAAAUUUGCAAAAUACUUAACAGCAAGAAAUUAUAUUUACCAAACAUAAAUUACAAAUGAAAUGUUGGCAAAGGAACACUAACUGGUCUCGCUCAUGCACAAGGGUUUCCAUUAGAGUGGGGAACUCCUUACUCAUCUCUUGAAUCACAAGUGUCAGCAUGUCAACAUCAUCCAUUUCCUUGAGCAUUUUGUUAAGGUCCUCAGGACUAGGUAAAAAGAAUGCUUGAAAAAGCAGAGAGUACAAUAAUUUUGUCUUAUGCCAAAGAGGCAUUUUCCCCCAUGUCCUUCGUAAUGUAAUCUGUACAGGGCGAUCACCAAGUAUCACUUUGCCACCAUAUGAUCUUGCUUCUUCAAAAGCCACUCGAAACUCAGAACCCGGAAAAACCUCAAGCUUAUUGGCAACCUUGGCAAGAAACCAGCUAUAAAGUAUCCCAAACAGGUUAUGUUUUUUCUUCCACAUCUCUAUCAUUUCUCCCAUUGUUGGAACCUUUAAAUUCUGAGGAGUAAGCACAGCCACUCGACUAGAACACAACUCCAAAAAGACAACCUGUGGUUUCAAGAAGCGGAUUACAGCUUCAACUUCUUUACAUGAUUCCUGAGAAACAUGUGCUGUGCCAACCAAGUACACAUCGCACGAUCCACCCUCCGCCGUAGACUCGCAAUUGAGAACCACCACACUUCUAGAAAGCCCCUCCGGAAGCUCCGUCCUCUGCGGCUCACUAACACUCCCUCCAUCGGCGCCAGUGUCCACCCUCAGCUCAUCAGCAACAUCGACAAUGCUCUCGCUCAAAGCCUCGACGUUAGGAUUAGGAUUUUCGAUGUGAACAAAGUCUUCGGCAGCAGGAGGCGGCUCCGCUGAUUCCGGCGCGUUGGGGUCCAUCGCCGGAGCGUUCCGGUUGGGUCCAGGAAGAUUACUGGCUUUGGUCGCAAAUGAGGCAAUUUUAGAGAAUUUUGGAGUUGAGAAUAUAAUGUGAGGAGUAAACGUGAAGUUUCUUGGGGAUCUAAGGGGAAGAAAUUUUAUGGUGGCGGAGAAGAAGCGAUGUGACUCGGGCGAGUUCAGUUGAGUGAUAAGCCGAGUCGAGCAAUUCAUGGAUCGGGCAUGAUGUUUUAUAUACACAAGUAGGAAAAAUUCUUGCCUGCAGUCCUGCCUCUUUCUGCUACGCAG
This 1547-nucleotide unclassified non-coding RNA is filed under the name Hevea brasiliensis (rubber tree). The record is from RNAcentral. Lineage: Eukaryota; Viridiplantae; Streptophyta; Magnoliopsida; Malpighiales; Euphorbiaceae.